GGUUCUGUGGUGUAAAAAACAUAUUAGAUUGCAAAUCUUUAGAUACGAUUGAAAAUUCCGUCAGGACUU
RNAcentral lists this transfer RNA (69 nucleotides) under Neogymnocrinus richeri. Its description in RNAcentral is "tRNA-Cys". It matches the Rfam family "tRNA". Rfam says of the family: Transfer RNA (tRNA) molecules are approximately 80 nucleotides in length. Their secondary structure includes four short double-helical elements and three loops (D, anti-codon, and T loops). The record is from RNAcentral. Lineage: Eukaryota; Metazoa; Echinodermata; Crinoidea; Cyrtocrinida; Sclerocrinidae.